This 2471-nucleotide long non-coding RNA is filed under the name Equus caballus (horse). RNAcentral describes it as "lncRNA (ENSECAG00000044273.1)". The record is from RNAcentral. Lineage: Eukaryota; Metazoa; Chordata; Mammalia; Perissodactyla; Equidae.
CUAAAUCCAAGAGUUGGAAAGAGGCGUACUCAUUUGCUCGGGCCACCACAACAAGCAGCACAGGCUGGGUGGCUUAGACAGCGGAGAGUCAUUUUCUCAUCGUUCUGGAGGUUAGAAGUUUGAGAUCAGUGUGUUGGCAGCCUUGGCUUCUUCUAAGUUCUCUCUCCUUGACUUCUUGGCUCAGAGACAGCCGUCCUCCUGCAGUGUCUUCACACGGUCUUUCUUCUGUGUGUGUGUCCUGAUCUCCUCUUCUCAUAAGGCAUGUGUCAUAUUGGAUUAGGACCCACCCAUAUUGAUAUCGACCCUGAUCUCAGUUUCCUCACGUUAAUCCCAGCAUAUAUGGGGUUAAAACCAAACACUCAUUCCCUGCUUACUCUCUGGCUUCCUGGCUCCAGAAUCCACUAUCCUCCAUGGAGACAGACACCGUCAAGGACAAGCACCUGGACUAUCUCCUCCCACAAAGAGAUACAGACUGGUGGGAAAGCUGCUGACCAGCAAGGUCACAGGCUUCCUCCUCUCUGUAAAUGUCUCAAGGCCGAAGACAGGCUGGUUGGGAAAGCUCCGACCAGCAAGGCCAUAUGCUCCCCCUCCCCUACCUAAAACCCCAAAUAGAAACCCUUCCUUUUAGCUUUUCGGGGAGUUUGGGAUUUCAGCGUUAGCUGCCCUCUCUCCUUGCUCAGCACUGUGCAAAAAUAAAGUUCCUACUUUCUUCCACCACCCCCGGUGUCAGAGAUUGGCUUGCUGCGCAACGGGUGAGGGAACUCACUUCAGGUUCGGUAACAAUUUGGCACCCCACAUGGGACAGUGUCCCAGGUGGACGUCUCGCCUGUGGCACACCGGCCUCUGGCUAAAGGCCUCUCUUGGAAGCUGUCCUGCAGCUGCCUGAGCCCCUUGUCUCAGGGACAGCCCCAAGUGACUGGCUGCUAGCCAGACCUUGUUGGCCCAUGGCGCUUUUGCUUUGGUGGUGGAAGAAACCAGGUUUAGGACAUAGGAAGACGUCUCCUGUAAGUAGCUGGUAGUUUUUGUUUUUGUCUUUGUGUUAACCUUCUCCAACAGGACCGGCUGGAAAUAAUGGGUACCCUGGCAGCCCUCUGGGCUCCAUUUGUUUUGAAGUUGCCCGACGCCCCGGCCAAAUUUUGAGAAAUUCAUGGAAAGGACUCUGACACUCUGGAAUACAGGUUUCCAGUAAACGUUCAGAUUGUAAAACUAAACUGGAGUGAAGAAAACUUUUUUUCUCUAUUCUCUGAAAGAACUAUGACUUGCAACAAUUUAUAAACAAAAUUGAAACAUUUGUCUUUUCCUCCCUAUCUGAGCCCCCCAAAACGCAAAAACUUCUGAUAAGACACAAUUGGAAACAGUGGUUAUAUGACCAAGGCUUUGACUGGAACAUCGUGUUUGAAAAAACAUACGGGCUUGACUAUAACAAGACAGCUUUUGAGGAAUGAAGGUUGACAUUCUGGAAUAAAGCCACUUGGAAAUAUUGGCCUGGUACUGUGCUUAUGGGUUCUGUAACCUGAAAAUCUUCUUAUUAAAUACCUGGUUACUUACUUACAUGAUACAGGCCUACCUUCAGGAGCCCACCAGCAUCACCGCCUUAUUAAAAGACUGGUUCAAUGAGAUGAAACGACCUAUGCCCCAUUUCAGCAGGAAGUAGCUAGAUCCGUCGCCGCCCCAAAUCCCUCAAGAUUGAGGGAGGACAUAAAAUAGGGGGGAGUUGAUAUCGACCCUGAUAUCAGUUUCCCCACAUUAAACUCAGCAUGUAUGGGGUUAAAACCAAAACACUCAUUCCCUGCUUACUCUCUGGCUUCCUGGCUCCAGAAUCCACUAUCCUCCAUGAAGACAGACACCGCCAAGGACAAGCACCUGGACUAUCUCCUCCCGCAAAGAGAUCCGGGCUGAUGGGGAAGCUCCAACCAGCAAGGCCAUAUGCUCCCCCUCCCCUACCUAAAACCCCAAAUAAAAACCCUUCCUUUUAGCUUUUCGGGGAGUUUGGGAUUUCAGCGUUAGCUACCCUCUCUCCUUGCUCAGCACUGUGCAAAAAUAAAGUUCCUACUUUCUUCCACCACCCCCCGUGUCAGAGAUUGGCUUGCUGCACAACGGGUGAGGGAACUCACUUCAUGAUUGGUAACAACAUGACCUCCUUUCACCUCAGUUACUUCUUCAAAGGCACUGUCUUCAAACACAGUCACAGGCUGAGGUACUAGGAGUUAGGACCUUGUCAUAUGAAUUUUGAGGGGGACACAAUUCAGUCCGUAACAAGAGGGAAGGGAAUAUCUUGUUUCUAGACAUUUUCUUUCUUCCACUGGAAUACACUCAAAUGAAUACAAAGUCCCCUCCUAGAGUUUAUCCUCUUUUCCUACUGUGUCUGUUGAGUAGCCAUCAUCCAGCCAUAAGUUCUUCUCGGGUUGUUCUUUGUUCUAAAUGCAAGGCUCCUUUGGGAUCAUCAGCCCCCUCUCAGAUCCUUACAUGCC